RNAcentral lists this ribosomal RNA (421 nucleotides) under uncultured Halococcus sp. RNAcentral describes it as "bacterial SSU rRNA". It matches the Rfam family "Archaeal small subunit ribosomal RNA", at positions 459 to 879 of the family's 1478-position model. Lineage: Archaea; Methanobacteriati; Methanobacteriota; Halobacteria; Halobacteriales; Halococcaceae. The record is from RNAcentral.
CAGCCGCCGCGGUAAUACCGGCAGCACGAGUGAUAGCCACUAUUAUUGGGCCUAAAGCGUCCGUAGCCGGCUACACAGGUCCGUCGGGAAAUCCACCCGCUCAACGGGUGGGCGUCCGGCGGAAACCAGGUAGCUUGGGGCCGGAAGACCAGAGGGGUACGUCCGGGGUAGGAGUGAAAUCCCGUAAUCCUGGACGGACCACCGGUUGCGAAAGCGCCUCUGGAGGACGGACCCGACGGUGAGGGACGAAAGCUUGGGUCUCGAACCGGAUUAGGUACCCGGGUAGUCCAAGCUGUAAACGAUGCUCGCUAGGUGCGGCGCAGGCUACGAGCCUGCGCUGUGCCGUAGGGAAGCCGAGAAGCGAGCCGCCUGGGAAGUACGUCCGCAAGGAUGAAACUUAAAGGAAUUGGCGGGGGAGCAC